This 627-nucleotide long non-coding RNA is filed under the name Helianthus annuus (common sunflower). RNAcentral's name for it is "sRNA HanXRQr2_Chr02g0048961". The record is from RNAcentral. Lineage: Eukaryota; Viridiplantae; Streptophyta; Magnoliopsida; Asterales; Asteraceae.
UGCAUAAGCCACUCCCCAACUUUGUUGCAACUAGAAUCAUCAGACACACUCCUUCAUCCAUCUCCUCCACCUCUCAUUCUCUCAAAAACUCUAUGUAACAAAUAAACCUUCUCACCUUCAACCUCUCAAACCCACACAUCUUGACACAACCGCCUCCCUCGUUCUCUUUCCUUCUCACGAAACGAAACGCAAAAGCCAUUCGCCGUAGUCGGAAUCUCACCAGGGUUUGAAGCAUCACCGGAAAGGUCAGAACUCGCCGGAAUCACGCCCGGAGUUCAUCGAGUCGGACACGGCUCUUCUCGUUUUGCAUAAAAAAAAGACAACCGGAACCGUGACAAAGCCAGGAUACGUUUCGCCACCCUCUCACCGUUGUUUCACUCGCGAGAACGAUAACAAACUCGUCGGAGAAAGCUAGUCGUCACCGGAGUUCACCGGAGCCGUCCGAAUCACGUCGGAGACUCGGAGAAGGCGACCGGAAAGCCCGCGGCCCUUAUAUCGUUUCGGGAAAUAGGGUUCUGGAUGCGGAUGAAGGAUUGGGGAUUUUGGUUAAUCGCUAUCGUUCGUUCUCUUGGUUUCCUAACCUUACUCGUGCGUUACUUACAAGAAAGCGCAACGCAACCAAUGUGA